CCAAACCACUGCAUGAAAACACUGUAGCAGAAAUUCUGCAAGCCUUGCAGAAAGUAUUUCCCCACAUAGAGGUUGCACUGAAGAAGAACCAACAGCAAGAAAUGCUUAUGAUCAGCCGACAUCUUGCAGGCCACGUUUCUUAUUAGUCGGAGAGCCAGGAUAUUGGUACGCUUCUCAUCUGGCACCUGCAGUAAUACACACCCUGGAAAAGUUUCCAGUUUACACACUAGACCUCCCCACUUUGUUUAGUAGCAUCAGGUCUCCAGAAGAAAUGUGUGCACAGCAAAUAUCACGCAAUGGAUUUCAAGAAUGACUCAGAUGUUUUUCAUGAGAUUUUUGUGACCUAAUGCAUAAAAGGAAAAAAAUCCUCCAG
Long non-coding RNA from Athene cunicularia (burrowing owl), 373 nucleotides. RefSeq lists it as uncharacterized. The transcript is spliced from 3 exons. Lineage: Eukaryota; Metazoa; Chordata; Aves; Strigiformes; Strigidae. The record is from RefSeq and is a predicted model, not a curated record.